Triticum urartu is the source of this 5249-nucleotide long non-coding RNA. RefSeq lists it as uncharacterized. The record is from RefSeq and is a predicted model, not a curated record. NCBI's taxonomy places the organism in Eukaryota, Viridiplantae, Streptophyta, Magnoliopsida, Poales, Poaceae.
GAAACCGCGAACCAACCUAAUUUUUUUUGUUAGCGAUGCAGGCCACGAUCCGCCGGUCGAUUCAGAAAUAACCGGUGUGAAGAAAAUCUACGAAAAUUAACCGCUCCCCUCCAUCUAUUUCCUACGAUCCCUCAAGGACGCCCCAGCCCCCGAGACGAGCCGCCGCCGAGAUCCGAGACGAUCCGCCGCCGCCGAGGACCGAGUGGAACCGCCGCCUCCACGUCGCCGCCGGCGGCGCUGGCCAGGCUCCCCACCGAUGGGCGCGCCGGGUCGCCGCUCCUCGAGGCCAGUUCCCCUCGUUGCUCCAGAUCGCGCCUCAGUUUGUGAUCCCUUGGGGAUCCUGCCAGGCCGCCGCCGCCGAGGACUGAGUGGAGACGCCGCCUCCACGUAGUCGCCGCCGGCGCUGGCCAGGCUCCCCACCGAUGGGCGCGCCGGGUCGCCGCUCCUCGAGGCCAGUUCCCCUCGCUGCUCCAGAUCGCGCCUCGGUUUGUAAUCCCUUGGGGAUCCUGCCGGUGCUUGAGGCGUCCGCGAUGGUGCGGACUCAGGACCGAGCGGUGGGGCACAUCAUGCGUUCUGGUUGAGAGAUUGGUCAGGCUGGCGUGGGAACUGAACUGCCGUCGAUGGAUUUUUUUGGUAGCUUGGCUGCAUGUUGCUUCAGAUUUGGUAGUACAUUGUAGAUGCUGAUCCAAAAUGCAUAGAAACAUGGGUAGAGAUGGGAACUAUCAAAGCAAUUGGAACUAUCUGGGACGAACAGCGUCAUCAUCUUAUACUGCUAACAUGAUUGACCGAUCUAGGAGAUACUUAUGAGCUUCUGAAGCUCGAUUGUUCAGAUUAUCAUGGGCGAGAUGACAAUGAAGAGCCUGAUAUAGUCCACCAUGACAUCAAUGCACCAUUGUCCCGCUAUUUCAUUACACCGGACAGUAAUCAUAUUUUACUGGCAAUCAGCUAAUCAGUGACUAUAGUGAUGUUCUCAUCAUCAAGGCACUGCAAAUAGGUGUUUGUGUAAUUAAAUUAGACAUGUGGCCAAAUUCUUCUAAAGAUGACACUGAUAUUCUCCAUCAAAGUACUGAAUAUGACUUCUGCUGACAGUACUCAUAGUUAUGCUUCCGUUACUGAAAUCUUCAUGAGUGUGGAUCCUAUAUGAUUCUCUUCAUAUAAAAUACUACUAUUUUGGGAAAGGCAUCUAGCUGAGUUUUAAUGAAACUCUUGAGCGAAAAAUAUUUCUAACGGUGUUAGAACGACAACUGACAAGGACUGCCACGAUUAGAGCUACCAUUUGGCCCCAUGUUUCAGUAUGCAGUCAAGCAUGCAAUAAAGGUAAUGACAGGGCAUUUUGUAGUUUCGGGUAGUGCAUGUAGUUUUCGCCAAAUUGUAUGUUACAGUUAACAUCGUAGGAGAUUGGAAUUCUGAAUUUGGAUGCUUUCAUGCAUAUCGAAGAAGUAGAAUACUCCCUCCGAUCCAAAUUACUUGUCGUUGAAAUAGAUGCAUCUAUAAUUGACAUACAUCUAAGAUACAUCCAUUUCAGCAACAAGUAAUACGGAUUGGAGGGAGUAUCAAUUUUGCUGUGUUGAAGUCGUUAUGGAGGUGACAAGGAAUCUAUAUUGCUCUGUAGAUGACGACAUUGUGCAUUGCAAUAUAUAUUGCUCUGUAGAAAAAUACAUUUAUGUGGAGUAUGCUUCAGGUAAUUCACCAAUGCAUUUGUUUCAUCAUUUCUUUUUGACUAUUAACUGCGUGAGCAAGUGUCUAAUAAUAGAAAAGUUCCCCAUUGGGUCGCUACUACAACUAAAUGGGCUUGUGAAUAGCUGUAGAACGUACUCUAUUUUGUUCCCCGUUGAAGGGCAAUGUUCCUGUUGGUCUCUCAAAAGAACUGAAAGAAAUGCAACCUUGACAAUUGAAUGCCCACAUUCCUUGUUGGAGAUCAUAGAGCUAUAUACAUUAAUGAGUUAUUAUGUUGAUGCACAUUGCAUUGCAUUUACUAAACUUGUUUUCUUCUUACCAGAUUCAGUGGUAAUGUAAUUUUGGUCGGGCAGGGGUUUGUGAAGAAAACUAGCAAGGUUCAUAGAUGCACCCAGGUGGAAUGUUUACUUUCCAAAUGUCAAGUAUUUAAAAAAAAUUAGACAUAUAAAUGUCUGAGUCCUUUGUGUUCUUGUCAAAUAUCAUGCAAAAAUGAUAAGGAGGACGAGGUUAUGAGGUAAUGUGCUCGGGCGGGAGGAAGAGGUACUGGUUCAAACCAUGAAAGUUCUUAGCUCAUAAUUGCUACCAAUUCUACAGAAAAGGUUGUGAUUUUGUUAACCUGACUAGAGCUUUCAUGUUAUGUCAGUCCUUUAUUUAGAUGAUUUAGCUGUUGACCUACCGUUCCUUUCUAGAUGAUUACUUGCAGUUCUUUUACUAAGGCAGUGCAUCUAGGGUUUCUUUACUUGCUCACUGACCAUUCAGUUCAAUGACGGCCAAUGCGGUAGAAUCGAGGCUGCAACUCUAGCACUUCAAAGAGGAAAAGAAAACAUGACUACUUCAUGGCGAGAGAAGAGGAGGGCAGCGAGGAGCGAACAUGGGGAUGGGUGGCUGGGGCGUUUCUUGCACGAGGAUGGGGAAAUUGGAGUUAUCCAAGACCGGAAAUGUCCCUGUUGCUCUUAGGAAGGAUACUUUAUUUUUCAGUCAUUUGCUAUUACUCCAAGUAAGAACUGCGAUUUUGCAAAGAGUAAGCCAUUUCUUGUGAAUCUUGUAAGUUUCUGCAUUUUGUAGUUCAAGAGCUCCUGGUUUGGUUUGGCCUCGAUCCAAACACGUUGUUAGACUUUCAGUCCAUGGGCUCGGUAAAUCGAGAUCGAGAGACGUCGUAGACUUUCAACCCAUGGCCUCAGUAGAUCGAGAGAGGGAGAGAGUAGUUAGGUGGCGGCGGCGGCUCCGGAGCACGAGUGCGACAGCGGCAACAGAGCAUGAGCGGGCAUGGACUGGGGACUAGAACAUGGAUGUGGAAGAUGGAGCGACAUCUGUGGUGCGACACCGUGUGGCGGUUGUCCGAGGUGUUGUCGAUGUGGAGCGGUGCCAUUUGGACUGAAGCCUAGCAUCCUAAGAUGGCAGGCUGGUGUCAACGCCGCUAGGGGUGGUGCCGAUGGAGACGCUGGGACGAGGUAGCGAUGUAGGGGUCGAGAGUAGCUGUUGUAUGUGUGUGUGUCCCCUCCAUUGAUUUGUGACCAAGCCCACGGGAAAUCUAGCCAGCAACUGGUAGUGUCUUUCUGAAUUGUGGAGUCUUUCGCUGAGGCCAUGCAUUGAGAAGGUGAACUUCUGAUGCAUCUAUCAUCCAUGGGCUAAAAAUUGAAUUAUCAACAAGUAUGAUGAUAGCCAGUGUUACUGUGAUCUCCAAAGAACAAUAACUAUGCAACAUAGUGCUGAACUUUGACAUUUUCGUUUUGUUAUAAAUUUCCUUUUAAUAUUUCGUAAUUUAUUUAAUUAAUCUUUCUAUUAAUAUUUGGUUUCACUAUAGUAAAUUUAUUUGAAGGUCUCCAUGAUGGCAUAAUUCAAUGUAGAUUGAUGUGUCGAUUAUUUUGGCAUGCAUUUAUUUGCCCAACAUUACCUAGAUACUUAGUGCCAUUACAAUGACAUCCUGUUUUAUUUCAGAAAGUGAUUGCUCCAUCACAUACACAUUAAAAGAAAUUGCACAACUGCACCAUGGCUAUCCAGUAUAUCAAGCAAGAUUAAUCUAAACAUACCUUACAACAUCUCAUUACUCCCAUCGAGGUAAUCUAAACAUGUUCUUAAUGGCGACAAAUUUGAGCAGAAGAUAUUCUUAAUGGCAACAAGUAACUAAUUCUUUCGUUUCUAUGGAAUAUGUAAAUUCAUAUGCAGGUAAGCAGGUUAAUCUAAACAUGCCUUACAGUAUCCCAUUACUCUUGUUGAAGUUUUAUACUGUUAGAUUUCACCUUUGUUUGUAUUAAAUAUCUGAAGUAACGGAGCUUGAUUUUCAGUUUUGAUUUUUCACUCACUUCAUAGCCAACAUUACAGUGGUAUAUGUUGUAUGUAUUUCAGCACUAUACUUUUCCCUCGGUCUAUAUAGUUACUGUUACUUGCCUAAAAGACCGGGAAUUUUCGUUGUUCCGUUUCAACAACAUGGUAUAAAUCUAAAUAGUUACUAUUACCUGAGGACAGCUUGUCUUCCCCAACAUGGGAUUUGUUGUUAACUCUACUCAUCUUCGAUGUUUAUACAUGAUUGGCAAGUGUCAGCAACUUAUCGUGUUCACUUUUGGUUAGCAAAGGUUUUGAUAUAACAGUCAGAUAUUUAUGUUUGGGAUUAGCUCAUAGGUUAGACUCUGGGUUCCCUUCCCCUCUGUCGAUCGCUCCAGCAGCGAGAGGGUGGGGGAGCCCCUGUUCUCUGCUUUGGUGUGUAUAUAGGGUGUGUGGGUUGGUUUCUAGCUGGCAGCGCUCAGGAGGCAGAUGUGCUGCCGAUGCGAAUAAAUUUGGUGUUGUUCCUUUCCCUAUGCGUUGUCAUCCUCUGGGCCUUGACGGGGUGCGUGCAGAUUGGUGUCUCGGGAUCCGUCGGACCUGUCGAGCUUUGGUGUUUCUGGGUAUGGCCAUCGCGAUGGAGAAGGUUGCCAUGCCGUGGAGAUUUCGUCUCCUGGCUUCGUCCCCAUGGUGGCUGGGCGUGCUUCAUCCCUCAUCAUGGAGCCUAGGAGUCAUGUUCAGGAGUUGGAGCGGCGCCAGAUCUCCCCGUGUCUCGUCCUUAGUGGUUCUUCAUCAUGUUGCAUCUCCGGUGUGCUGGUCCGACUGGACCGAGGUUGACGACUUCCUGGCUGCAAAGAACCUGUCUACACUCCACAAGAUCAUGCCGGCAAAAUGUAGAGCGGCGCCUGAUCUCCCCAUGCCUCGUCCUCGGUGCUUCUUUGUCAUGUUGCACCUUCGGUGUGAUGGUUCUACUGGACAGAGGUUAACGACUUCCCGGUCGCGAAGAAUCCGUCCGCACUCUACAAGGUAACGUCGGCUCCAUGUUGGAGCGGGAGCGCGCCUUGAGCCCGCAUCUGAGUUUGUUGUAUCUGAGUUUGCGGUGGGUCGAAGCCCCAAGGACUCGAUUGUGAUUUGUGUUUUCUCUAGGGUGCUUAUACCACUGGUGUUCUUUAAUAUAUGACCUGGGUCUUCUCCACAAGAAAGGGUGAUAUCUAUCAUUUGUAAUGCAUUGCACACUACAGAGUUAUGUGUUUGUGCUACUUUCUUUAUUUUGUGCAUCAGAUAUGAAAGUCUACAUCGUUGGAUUUCAUUUU